This 468-nucleotide ribosomal RNA is filed under the name uncultured bacterium. RNAcentral's name for it is "partial 16S ribosomal RNA". It matches the Rfam family "Bacterial small subunit ribosomal RNA", at positions 28 to 507 of the family's 1533-position model. The record is from RNAcentral.
GACGAACGCUGGCGGCGUGCUUAACACAUGCAAGUCGAACGGAAAGGCCCUGCUUUUGUGGGGUGCUCGAGUGGCGAACGGGUGAGUAACACGUGAGUAAACUGCCCUUGACUUUGGGAUAACUUCAGGAAACUGGGGCUAAUACCGGAUAGGAGCUCCUGCUGCACGGUGGGGGUAGGAAAGUUUCGGCGGUUGGGGAUGGACUCGCGGCUUAUCAGCUUGUUGGUGGGGUAGUGGCUUACCAAGGCUUUGACGGGUAGCCGGCCUGAGAGGGUGACCGGCCACAUUGGGCCUGAGAUACGGCCCAGACUCCUACGGGAGGCAGCAGUGGGGAAUAUUGCACAAUGGGCGGAAGCCUGAUGCAGCAACGCCGCGUGCGGGAUGACGGCCUUCGGGUUGUAAACCGCUUUCGCCUGUGACGAAGCGUGAGUGACGGUAAUGGGUAAAGAAGCACCGGCUAACUACGUG